This 337-nucleotide unclassified non-coding RNA is filed under the name soil metagenome. RNAcentral describes it as "partial contains 5.8S ribosomal RNA, internal transcribed spacer 2, and large subunit ribosomal RNA". The stretch from base 1 to 120 matches the Rfam family "5.8S ribosomal RNA", at positions 35 to 154 of the family's 154-position model. The record is from RNAcentral.
GAUGAAGAACGUAGCGAAAUGCGAUAAGUAAUGUGAAUUGCAGAAUUCAGUGAAUCAUCGAAUCUUUGAACGCACAUUGCGCCCCCUGGUAUUCCAUGGGGCAUGCCUGUUCGAGCGUCAUUUGUACCUUCAAGCCUUGCUUGGUGUUGGGUGUUUGUCUCGCCUCUGCGCGCAGACUCGCCUCAAAACAAUUGGCAGCCGGCGUAUUGAUUUCGGAGCGCAGUACAUCUCGCGCUUUGCACUCAGAACGACGACGUCCAAAAGUACAUUUUUACACUCUUGACCUCGGAUCAGGUAGGGAUACCCGCUGAACUUAAGCAUAUCAAUAAGCGGAGGA